CCUACGGGUGGCAGCAGUGGGGAAUAUUGCACAAUGGGCGAAACCCUGAUGCAGCCACGCCGCGUGAGUGAAGAAGUCCUUCGUUCUGUAAAGCUCUUUUAGCCGGGAAGAAAAUGACGGUCCCUGAGUAAGAAGCGCCGGCUAACUACGUGCCAGCAGCCGCGGUACUACGUAGGUGGCACGCGUUAUCCGGAUUUACUGGGUGUAACGGGAGCGUAGAUGGUAGGGCAGGUCUGGAGGGAAAGGCGGGGGCUCAACCGGAGGAGUGCUCUUGAAACUGGACGGCUGGAGUGCAGGAGAGGUAAGUGGAAUGCGUAGUGUAGCGGUGAAAUGCGUAGAUAUUAGGAGGAACACCAGUGGCGAAGGCGGCUUACGGGACUGUAACUGACGUUGAUGCUCGAAAGCGUGGGGAUCAAACAGGAUUAGAUACCCCAGUAGUC
This 440-nucleotide ribosomal RNA is filed under the name uncultured bacterium. Its description in RNAcentral is "partial 16S ribosomal RNA". It matches the Rfam family "Bacterial small subunit ribosomal RNA", at positions 338 to 795 of the family's 1533-position model. The record is from RNAcentral.